AUUGAACGCUGGCGGCAGGCCUAACACAUGCAAGUCGAACGGUAACAGGAAACAGCUUGCUGUUUCGCUGACGAGUGGCGGACGGGUGAGUAAUGUCUGGGAAACUGCCUGAUGGAGGGGGAUAACUACUGGAAACGGUAGCUAAUACCGCAUAACGUCGCAAGACCAAAGAGGGGGACCUUCGGGCCUCUUGCCAUCGGAUGUGCCCAGAUGGGAUUAGCUAGUAGGUGGGGUAACGGCUCACCUAGGCGACGAUCCCUAGCUGGUCUGAGAGGAUGACGAGCCACACGGGAAGUGAGACACGGUGCAGGGGCCUACGGGAGGCAGCAGUGGGGAAUAUUGCACAAGGGGCGCGAGGCGGAUGCAGCGAUGCGGGGUGUAUGAAGAAGGCCGUCGGGUUGUAAAGUAGGGUGAGGGGGGAGGAAGGGAGUAAAGUUAAUACCUGGACUGAUUGACGUUACCCGGAGAAGAAGCACCGGCUAACUCCGUG
RNAcentral lists this ribosomal RNA (490 nucleotides) under uncultured bacterium. RNAcentral's name for it is "partial 16S ribosomal RNA". It matches the Rfam family "Bacterial small subunit ribosomal RNA", at positions 29 to 507 of the family's 1533-position model. The record is from RNAcentral.